RNAcentral lists this ribosomal RNA (253 nucleotides) under uncultured bacterium. Its description in RNAcentral is "partial 16S ribosomal RNA". It matches the Rfam family "Bacterial small subunit ribosomal RNA", at positions 524 to 776 of the family's 1533-position model. The record is from RNAcentral.
UACAGAGGUCUCAAGCGUUGUUCGGAUUCAUUGGGCGUAAAGGGUGUGUAGGUGGCUCGCUAAGUCGGGUGUGAAAUUUCGGAGCUUAACUCCGAAACUGCAUUCGAUACUGGCGUGCUUGGGGACUGGAGAGGAGACUGGAAUUCAUGGUGUAGCAGUGAAAUGCGUAGAGAUCAUGAGGAAGACCAGUGGCGAAGGCGGGUCUCUGGGCCACUACUGACGCUGAGAAGCGAAAGCAUGGGGAGCGAACAGG